AAAGAGACAAAUGCAUUUUGGUCCAUUUUCGUUGCAGCGGCAGUAAUGGGCCUUGUAAUUCUUGGCCAGCGCUGGCAACAGGAAAGGUGGCGGGCUUUGCAACUCAAGUGGCAGGCUAGCAUUAAUGAGAAAAGUGGCAGGAUGUUGGGACCUAUAUCACGACUUAAGGAUGUGAUUGUGGGUGGCCAUCGCCGUGGAGCCCUUAUCAGGGGAAGUUCCUCAAAU
RNAcentral lists this unclassified non-coding RNA (225 nucleotides) under Hevea brasiliensis (rubber tree). The record is from RNAcentral. Lineage: Eukaryota; Viridiplantae; Streptophyta; Magnoliopsida; Malpighiales; Euphorbiaceae.